Molecule: ribosomal RNA, 164 nt
Filed under: uncultured Glomeromycotina
Lineage: Eukaryota; Fungi; Glomeromycota
Description: partial 18S ribosomal RNA
Rfam family: Eukaryotic small subunit ribosomal RNA
Source: RNAcentral
UUCUUGGAUUGACUGGAAGACUAACUACUGCGAAAGCAUUUGCCAAGGAUGUUUUCNCCCUNUAAGAACGAAGGUUAGGGGAUCGAAAACGAUUAGAUACCCCUUNUAGGCUUAACAGUAAACUAUGCCGACUAGGGAUCGGGCGAUGUUCUUCUUUUGACUCG